This 411-nucleotide ribosomal RNA is filed under the name Triticum aestivum (bread wheat). RNAcentral's name for it is "partial small subunit ribosomal RNA". Lineage: Eukaryota; Viridiplantae; Streptophyta; Magnoliopsida; Poales; Poaceae. The record is from RNAcentral.
AUGUCAGAGGACAGGGGCACGCAGAGGGAGAAGGGUAAGGAGUCGGCUGAGGAUCUACUAGCCCGCCUUACCCUGCAGGAGGAGGAAGAGGAUGAUUUUGUGUGGGAGGAGGAGCUACCAGAUCUACUGGAGCCGGCGAAGUGGCUGGCGAUUGCGAGGGUGCAUACCCAAAAAACUUUUAGCCCUAACGCAUUGUAUGGCGACAUGAGGGCGGCCUGGAACCCGGCUAAGCCGGUAGCAUGGAGGAAGAUUAAGGGGAACUUGUUUUCGGCGCAGUUUGGAUGCCUCGCAGAUUGGAAGAAAGCUAUGCACGAAGGACCAUGGUUGUUCAGGGACCAGGCCGUGAUCUUAGAGGAAUAUGAUGGAUUCAAAAACCCUAAUUCGUUCAAGAUGGAUAGAAUUGAGGUAUAG